This 593-nucleotide ribosomal RNA is filed under the name Bacillus aerius. Its description in RNAcentral is "bacterial SSU rRNA". It matches the Rfam family "Bacterial small subunit ribosomal RNA", at positions 54 to 631 of the family's 1533-position model. Lineage: Bacteria; Bacillati; Bacillota; Bacilli; Caryophanales; Bacillaceae. The record is from RNAcentral.
AAUGCAGUCGAGCGGACAGAAGGGAGCUUGCUCCCGGAUGUUAGCGGCGGACGGGUGAGUAACACGUGGGUAACCUGCCUGUAAGACUGGGAUAACUCCGGGAAACCGGAGCUAAUACCGGAUAGUUCCUUGAACCGCAUGGUUCAAGGAUGAAAGACGGUUUCGGCUGUCACUUACAGAUGGACCCGCGGCGCAUUAGCUAGUUGGUGAGGUAACGGCUCACCAAGGCGACGAUGCGUAGCCGACCUGAGAGGGUGAUCGGCCACACUGGGACUGAGACACGGCCCAGACUCCUACGGGAGGCAGCAGUAGGGAAUCUUCCGCAAUGGACGAAAGUCUGACGGAGCAACGCCGCGUGAGUGAUGAAGGUUUUCGGAUCGUAAAGCUCUGUUGUUAGGGAAGAACAAGUGCAAGAGUAACUGCUUGCACCUUGACGGUACCUAACCAGAAAGCCACGGCUAACUACGUGCCAGCAGCCGCGGUAAUACGUAGGUGGCAAGCGUUGUCCGGAAUUAUUGGGCGUAAAGGGCUCGCAGGCGGUUUCUUAAGUCUGAUGUGAAAGCCCCCGGCUCAACCGGGGAGGGUCAUUGAAA